GGCGCCGGCACCGCCUUCUCUCUCGGUCCACGAUCUCUCUCUCCUUCUGCCUCUAUCCUCUCCGGCCGUCGAUGGACGGAGCACCACGACAGCCAACUCAGCAACCAACGCCGUCACUAUCUUCGCCGGACUUCCUCUCCCGCCGCCGAUAAACCGACCACCAACCGGCGACCCAUCGUCCUCAGCCAACAGUAGCGGGCCAGUGCUGCCACCGGCGAAACAGCAUCGCCGUAGACAGCUUCAGCUCCAAUCACCACCGGAGAACAGGCACCGCCGCCGUUCUCUCCGUCACCGGAGCUCACCGGAGCUCGAUCUGAGUUGGGUUUUGGGUUCCUGUUGUUUGUUGGGGGUUUUGGUUUCAUCUGUUUCCUAGUUCGUCGUCGAUAUUGGAUUUCGAGUUGUCGUUAUCAAAUCGCGUCGUCGUUCUUGUUUGGGUUUCGUAUAACAAAGUUUGUCUCACUGGUUUUGAAGUUGUCCUAUUAGUUUUUCCCUAUGCUGAGUUGGAUUCAUCGCGAUCGAGGUUCUCCGGUCUAGUAUUUUGGUCUUCGGAUUUCUUUAUUAUCGUCAAGGAUCAAUUUCAUCGAGGUCCAUUUCUUUUAACCGAAUCUUUAAUUUAUCUUGAUUUUUUUUUGUGAUGUUGUGGGUGUAGAUGAUUUAUUUGUUGUGUGUUUGGUUUGAAUCUUUGUUGUUAGUGUUUGUUUGAUGAUUGUGACGGGGUGAUAUGUUUCGAUAUUAUGUUGGAGAAAUCGCGAUUACCGUGGUUGAUUUGAUUGAGACUUAUUUAAUCAUGUUGGUUGAAAUAAAUUUGGGGACGGGAAUUGAAAAUUGAUAAAAGUAAGUAUUAUGAUAUUUUUGAUACAUUGUUGAUGUUGAAUGCGGUAUGUUGUCGAGCGGGUAGGCAAACAGUAAGCUCGGGUAGGCAAGUUUAGGAUUGGUGUAGUGUGGGAAUGAUUGGAAAUUUGUUGAAUGUUUUGUUUAUCGUAUUUAGAAAGCGUAUUUAUUUAACCGGGGAAUGCCCCGAGGUAAUUUGUAUUUACUCACCGGGGAAUGCCCCGAAGAACUUUGUACGCUAAGGAUGUUCGUGAUCAAGGCCCGAGGCAUCGGGUAAAGCAUGGUUUAGGACUAGUGUAGGUUAUUUCAGUGUUUUUAUUUCGGGUUCUAAUAAUUGGACUGGACUUUACAUUUUUGUUUUGUUUUGUUAUUGUUUGAUUAUUUUGCGUGUUUUUUUGUGUGGUUUAUGCAUUUGUAACGUCAAUUUAGCCGAUACGCUCUGCCAAGCGACCGUGGUUGAACCACGGGAUCAAGGGGUGCCUAAAACCUUCCCCUCGGUCAACAGAAUUCCUUAGCCGGAAUCUCUGUUCGCAAACCAGUUUAAGAGCCAAAUGGUUUCGAAAAGGAUUUUCCAAAGGUGACUUGGCACACCGGAUUAUGCUAAGUGGCGACUCUGAAUAAAAAAUACAAAUAAUCCUUUUCCGAAACAAAUUUUCAUUUCUUGUCACUUAAAUAGUAAAGCCCUUUCGAACUUUAAAAUAUACAUUUUUUGGAGCACGUUAAAAAAAGGGUGUGACAGUCAUUCACCCAGAUCAUGCUUUUCUCGCUAUUACUAUUAAGAAUGUGUAGCCUAGAAAAUCACAAAAAAUUUACAAGUUUAAUGCAUGAUAGCUUUCUCACAAAACUUUACAAGUUUAAUGCAUGAUACUUCCUCACUUUGCAUGAUAGCUUCCUCACUUUGUUAUGCUAUAGAAAGUGGACAAAAUAGUAUCAUGUUCUUUUUUUUUUUACUCAUCUGUCCGUUUGUCCCAUUAUCAUUCUAUUGCGCUGGUUAUGGAAGAUUGAAAAUUGAAAGUUAGAUGAAUGAUUAUUCAUACAAUUUUAUCCUCAGAGGUUUGCAGUCACUGAAGAAUGCACUUGUACUUCCCUUUCGGCUUGGAUGGAACGGUGAUUCAUGUGUGCCC
RNAcentral lists this long non-coding RNA (1955 nucleotides) under Capsicum annuum. Its description in RNAcentral is "long non-coding RNA (CANN_LNC016963)". The record is from RNAcentral. Lineage: Eukaryota; Viridiplantae; Streptophyta; Magnoliopsida; Solanales; Solanaceae.